AGAUGGCGACCGGCGCACGGGUGAGUAACACGUAUCCAACCUGCCGAUAACUCGGGGAUAGCCUUUCGAAAGAAAGAUUAAUACCCGAUGGUAUAAUCAGACCGCAUGGUUUGAUUAUUAAAGAAUUUCGGUUAUCGAUGGGGAUGCGUUCCAUUAGGCAGUUGGUGAGGUAACGGCUCACCAAACCUUCGAUGGAUAGGGGUUCUGAGAGGAAGGUCCCCCACAUUGGAACUGUGACACGGUCCAA
RNAcentral lists this ribosomal RNA (247 nucleotides) under uncultured bacterium. Its description in RNAcentral is "partial 16S ribosomal RNA". It matches the Rfam family "Bacterial small subunit ribosomal RNA", at positions 86 to 334 of the family's 1533-position model. The record is from RNAcentral.